CCCUUAGACGUUCUGGGCCGCACGCGCGCUACACUGACCAGUGCAACAAGCAUCCGUCCUUGGCCGACAGACUCGGGCAAUCUUUGAACGCUGGUCGUGAUGGGGAUAGACUUUUGCAAUUUUUGGUCUUCAACGAGGAAUUCCUAGUAAACGCAAGUCAUCAACUUGCAUUGAUUACGUCCCUGCCCUUUGUACACACCGCCCGUCGCACCUACCGAUUGAAUGGUCCGGUGAAGCCUCCGGAUUGGCGCGCACCUCGGUGCCGCCGAGAAGUUGGCUAAACCUUACCAUUUAGAGGAAGGUGAAGUCGUAACA
RNAcentral lists this ribosomal RNA (315 nucleotides) under uncultured eukaryote. RNAcentral's name for it is "partial 18S ribosomal RNA". It matches the Rfam family "Eukaryotic small subunit ribosomal RNA", at positions 1470 to 1796 of the family's 1831-position model. The record is from RNAcentral.